Drosophila montana is the source of this 1409-nucleotide long non-coding RNA. RefSeq lists it as uncharacterized. NCBI's taxonomy places the organism in Eukaryota, Metazoa, Arthropoda, Insecta, Diptera, Drosophilidae. The record is from RefSeq and is a predicted model, not a curated record. The transcript has 2 exons.
UCGAUAACUGUUAACAGUGCUAUCCAUACAAUAUAACAGGACGGCAUAAGCCUAAUUAAUUUCUUUGGAUUGCCGCAUUGAUGUUGCCUCGAAAGAGACGCAAUGUGAUUGUCGAACACUUCCACUUAACACUAAGAGCUCGUCCUGCAGGCUUUGCAUGUUAACAUUGACAACAAAACUAUUUUGGUGAAGAGCAAUCAAACAUCAGGCAAAUGAUGGGAAUGGCGACGGCCAUUGCCAAAUAUCCGCCGCUCAAACAUCAAUGAAAUUCCAAUAGGGCAAUCGUUAUUUGAUGGCAAAACCAACCGUUACAAUUCAUCAAACAACAAAUGGAUAUUACUUCAUCGAAAACAAUAUUAAAUACUUGAACGUAAAACAUGGACGUACCACAAUGGCCGGCAGCGUCAGGCACAGGAUCAGGCCCAGACAUUGACACUGACGCAGACACUGGCACAGAGGCAGUGGCAGGCCCAUGCCCAUGGCCAUGCCCGUUGCCCGGCGUUGAAACGACCUCAAAGUGUGUCCACAUGGAAGCGACUGACUGCUGCGAGCCUGAAACAAAAUUACCAGUUGCCAGUUGCCAGUUGCUGGACAUUGGUUGUUGGAUGUUGGAUAUGGAUGUCGUUUGGUCUGACUGGCGGCGUUCCAUGUUUUCGGCGACUAAACAACUGGCGCGCAAAUCAACAAAAACCGAUUUUCAGAAACAGGAAGCCAGCAGCAGCUACAUUGCCGUUGACAGACAUGCAGCCCAACGCCCUUUUGAGGCAGCCCCCACUGUCCCCACACCCCCUAGCUCGUUCCCUAAAUGUGCCCGCAUAUUGACUUUGUGCGAGGGGCACAAACGAUUUCGGAUUUAAGAAAUAAAAGUUUUGUGCCUCAGCGAGCAAAUCUGCAGCCACAAUGGCAAACAGCUAACCAGACUACACACACACACACACACACACACACACUCACACGCACACCAAAAACAACAACAACAACAAUGGGCUAGAGCAAACAAAAGACGCGUCUGUGGUUGGCCCCGCCUGGGUGGAUGUGGCCAACUGGGGAUGCGGCUGUCGAACGGCAAAAUGUCGGCGGUUACUACUUUGACUUGUUUACCCCGCCUGAAUCAGAAUCAGAAACUGAACAGAACUGCUGCUGGGCACAGAAUUGGUAACGGCCACGGGUCUGGGACUGGGUCAGAAGCAGGGCUCAUUGGUUUCGGGCAUCGUCUGUAAAUAGACUCCACUCCACUCGAUUUGCGAUAUACAAGCAAGAAGCGCCAUGACGAACGACAAGUGCAAUCGCUUGACACUGUUGGCGACAAGCUGCUUCCGGUUUCCGGGUGUGAAAACUAUGAAUGCAAAAGUCAAACCAGAACAUUUUUCAAAUUCUACACACGUUUAAUAAAUUCUAUAGUUGAUGAA